AUGAAGAAAAGACCAGACUUAAACAGAAAAUGUGAUGUCCAAUUACAAAAUUCAAGAGAAGCACAAAAAGAGAAGAGAUUAUUUUGGACUGAAAUUUAUGUCCCUGUGAGACGCUGCCAUGCCAUCUUAAAGAACAAAAAGGGGGAGUUUUCAGUCCCAGUCAUUCGGAAUCGCCGUUUUAAGAACAUCUGGUGUAACUGGACCAUCUGGGCAGGCCCCAGAAACCACAUUAUCAUCUAUGUCCAAGGGUUUAGGGGAAGCAAGGAUUGUAAAGAAAAUGCAGAUAAAAUUAUAUUUGAGAGUGUUGCCUCUAUUAUGGAAAGCACCAUUGCCUAUGCUUGUUGGAACAAGAGAGUACACGUCUAUGCAUCUCAGGCCUUGGCUGUGAAUGUGGCAUUGCUGUUAAAUAACUAUACCUGGAACCAACGAUAUAAAUAUUUUAGAGGGAAAUAUUAUAUCUUCAGAGAUCCCAGGGAAAGAACUUUAGAGAAAGGGGAUCUAACUUACAAAGUUCCUCUUCAAAGACCUUCCUGCAAGCUUACUUACAGUAGUACUGGGCUAAAGGUUGAACUACCAGUUGGGACAUCUCAAAGAGGUCUAGAGGUGACCUCUCCUGAACCAAUGCCAUCAAAAGAUCUUCAACCAGAGGGAUCUUUCACAUGGGGAAGAGAGGAGGUAGAGUUUUCUGAGAUCUCUUUGCCUUACUUAUUUCCAUUGAACUCUGAGAGGUUAUCUGGUAAAUCCCAGGUAGACAGCAUCAUCAGCACAAAAACACUAGAUGUGGGUGAGAUGAGCCUUGGGGAUGGAUUGUUUUUCAAAGCUCUAGGGAAAACUGCAGCCCUUGAUAUUAGAUGGUUGGAAAUUACACAAGAAAAGAACAUUCUUUCCCUUGGGUCUACUAUGGAUGGCUCAACAGUUGACCUUGAUAUCCUUUAUGAAAAUACUCCUUACCUUGUGAGUCCUACACCAUCAACUACAAUGGGAGAUGAAUCUAUAAAUAUCAAAUCAGAAAGAGUUGAUAAUCAAACUGACUACUUAAUUCCCACUUCAGAGGAUGCUACAAUAAACAUUAAGCCAAUUCCCAUAAGCCAUUCCAUUUUGGGUAUUCUCUCAGAUACAGAAUUCCUUGAAAAGACUAAAUACUCUAAAAAUGAGAAGAUUCAGAUCAGUCCCUCCCAGAUAAGGAGUAGUUUAUCUGGAAGUGAACAGCAGUCCUUUCUGCAGACUGAAGUCCUGACUCAGGAAGCUUUAACAAUAUCCACUGAUUCUAUGGAGAUUCAUAUAUCCAGUAUUGACCUGGCCUAUGAAACUCAGUUCCCUCUUGAAGGUUCCUUGCACUCAAUCCCCGUGGUUCCAACAGUUCAUACAGCUAUGGAUUUUUCUCCUAAAUCUUCUCAAGAAAUCUUCAGUGACAUGGGGUUCAUGCUUAUGGUGACAUCUCUAGAUGGCAGAGGAUUAGUCCCUGAACUGCCUUCAACCAUCUCCAUUAGAUCCACAGAGGUCAGAACUGAGGCUGAGCCAGAACUUCUCCAAACAGCCAGAUCACUUCCAGGGCUAGCAGAGACAGAAAGCUUGUCCAGCUGUGUGAUCUCUGAAGAAGCCCCUAGUAGGCAUCAAAUGAGUCUUGCUGAAUCAUACCUGAAGUUUGUUGUCAGUCAAGAAAGGUUUCUUCCCUUUACUACUUACCAGGAGAAUCUAUCUGAUGUUGAAUUGACCCUAACUCCUUCCCAAGUGAUUAAGUCUGUAAGUGUCUCUGAGUGGGUUCUCCAAAAAAUUCCAGUGUCCAUUCCCUCAGUCUAUCACAGUGAACAAGUUUCAACUGAGCAGACUUUAGGGAUCCCUUUGACUUUAACCCAGGGAGCUAUGCUAAAAGCCAAACAGCCUUCCAUGACCCCAUUUGAGACUAGAACUGAGAUAGACUCCAUGCUGGUUGUUCAAAGUAUAACCACACCUUUUGGUUCAGUGCAUCAUGAAGAAGAGAGCAUGGCAGCUACUGUGUUCUCUUUUGGGAUUCCCUUGAGUCACCAUCCAAAUUUUUCUAAGAGCAACAUGGAAUGUUAUUUCUCAAAUCCAACUGCAGAAUCUCUUGCCUUCCUCCCCACUCCUACACCAAGCAUAAAUGAAGACAAGCAUACUCUUAGAAGUUUAUCAAGUCAUUCCUGGACUGAUCCAGGAGAAAUGUUUUCAAGUGUAGGAAAAACUGAGCCACUUCCACUGUUUGCUUUGAAGAAUGUAGGUGUUACUACCUCUGAAUCAAGUCCUAGAAGACUUGGACUUAGCGUAAAGAAUUUCUUUGACCCAUUAGAAGGUGAAUCCCUUAUUGAAAAAGGAACACAGAGUAUAUCUCAACUAGUCUCCAAGGACAAUUUUUCACAAGGUAGGGAUGCUUCUUCAGGAAGUAAGAUUUCCUUGGUUUCUAAAACUUAUUCUAAAAUGACUCUCCUGUCAGCUCUGCAAUCAAUCCCUAGCAGUGCCAUGACUAUAUCUUGGAAACCUGAUGAAAUUCAGACCGAAAUGACUGUUCAGCCCUCAAAGAAGGAUGAGACAGUGAAUAAAAGCAAGCCUUGGAAACCCUUCAACUCCUUUGGACAGAACCAGAAUCUUGCCAAAGCCAACUUUAUAUCUUUGUUCCCUAGUGUUCCAUCAAUGUCCUUGGGUAAGUGGGACCAGACAGGGGACCUUCCUGCAGUCUCCUCAUCCCCGCCUCUCUGGUCUAAGGAUACAGACCUUUUGGAAGCCAAAAAUCUUCAAGACUCUGAGAUCUUUACUCCAUCCAGCAUGGUAGCGUAUCUUCCUAUAAGAAGGUGUCAUGUGGUUUUGGAAGAUACCUUUGGAACUUUUUCAUUGCCAGAGGAUCUAAGUACUUCUUGGCCAAACAUCUGGUGUAACUGGACUAUCUGGGCAGGGACCAAGAAACACAUUAUUGUUUACAUCAAAGGAUUUGAGGGGCCUGAGAACUGUGAUGAAAGCCAGGACAAAAUAAUUUUUCAAGGGGUCUCAUCAAGUGUGGAAAGGAAAAUCUUCUAUGCAUGUAGAAAGCAAGGAACUUUGACUUUUGCUACUCAAGCCCUGGCUGUCCACAUAGUGUUUCUCUCUAUGAGAUCUUAUCCUAGACAUAUUCCAUCUUUUGAAGGCGAGUAUUUUAUCUUCACAGACCCAGAGAGACAAGUUCCUCCUAAAUCUGUCUUUGGGUCUUCCCAAGCAACUUCUCAGAGGCUCAGAGAGAGGAGUCCAAGUAGCCUGAAUUCUCAUCCUGACCUAGUGUCAAAACUGUCCUUUGGGAGUUUUCCAAACAUGAACAGCAUCUGUACAGGUCUGGAGGACAAAAGACAAAUAGUCACUGAGACACUGAUCAUGAAGAACAAAGAGCUAGUAGAGAGAGAAAGAAAGGGUCUUGAAAGGAAGCAACUGUGUGGCUUCCUUCCUCUGAUCCCUACUAAAGGUCCAUUGAUAAUGAACAAAAACCCAUCACCUCUCCUGAUUAGGCAGAAACUCAGCAGAUCCAUAGACAGUAUAAAAAAUUCAGUUCAAAGAGACUCUGCUGUCAGGAUGGCAUUAAUCCCAAAUAUCUUGUAUGAGCACAAACCAGAAAAUAAAGCUACUCAAGGUGACUUGCCUGUAGACUCAUUGUUAAUAUACUCUCAUUGGCCUUCUAAGACUUUGCCCUUGACAAAACUGCUCCCCAAACCUGCAGGCAUUUCUGACAGGCUUCUUCCAUCUGCCAUUGUUCAAGAACAGAGGUUGUCUUGGAGUUCUGCUGAAGCAGAGUCCCUUGCAUUGCAAGGGGACCUUGAUAUUACUAGGUCUUCUAACUUUUAUUCCCACUUGAUGGCUCAGAGUAUAAGGAAACCCCAGGAUGCUGUGAAUCAUCGUGAUCAUCUUUACCAGAGUUUCAGCCAUGUGAAGCUGGUUAAAGAAAAGAAUUUUCUAGAAGCAAUGUCUGGAGGUGAUGAGCUCACAGUGGACACCUUAAAUAUCCCUAAAGAAGAAUUGUCCUCAAAUCUUCUAUUCAAUGUUAAACAGUUAGAUCCAGAAUCCAGUGCCGCUAGCAAAGAGAGAGGUGGGGAAAUGUUCUCAACAAAGUUGGUGAGCAAGGGAGUCAAUUUGGAUCCAACUCAGUUCAUCACUUUGCAAAAUCUCAGUGAGGAGCUACAAGGUCCGGAAAGCUCUAGGAGAGUGACAAUGUCCAAUGGAUUUGUGAGGGAUUCUAUAUCUUCUGGCAGCUUGGCUGAUCUCUCUUCUUUCAUGAAGACUCUUCACACUCCCCAGAAUUUCUUCAGAGAAGUCACAGAUGAUUUCCAACCAAGCACUGCUGGUGCUGACACAAGUCCUUCAGUACCUAACUUCCAAGCCAAAGAGGGUCUGCAGACCAAGGCUUUGCUAUCUUUGAGCCCUGAUCAAGUGUGGAAGAACAUGACAACUGAAGGAGUCUUAGUUUUAACCCCAGGAUAUCCUGAUGCAAGAACAACCUCCCAAUCUUUUGGAAAUGGGUCUGCCUUAGAUUUCCAACACUAUCCAGGAGAUAUCCUAUUGGAAGUGACAAUCGAAACGGAGUACCCGGUAAAGAGCCUGCACAAUGCCUCGGAAGUGGAGAAAGUCUUGGUAGAUUUAUUUAAGCAAGAGAUUGAGGAAAAUCUAGGCCACUUUUCACCUGAAACAGAUGCAUUCAAACUAACCAGAAUUAAGAGAAAGGACACCUCAAAUGUCAUGUUUGUUUUCUGGCUACAUCUGAUGUCUAGAGGGAGAAAUAUAUCCAAUUACCUGAUGCCCCAAUUUGGAGCUUCUCUGAGCAGUACCCUGCAUUCCCAAUUAAGAACUCUCAUCAGAGAUGCCAUAGAAGCUCUCCAAAUUCAUCUGAAAUCUAUCUCCAUUGACGAUGUAAAUGAAUGUGAAACUGGCCUAGAACAUUGUGGUGAAGGGGCUGAGUGUUUCAAUGGAGUUGGCACUUACAUUUGCCAUUGCAAAGAAGACCAUGAAGACCGUUCCCCAAUGCAGACUGGAAUCCUAUGUGUCCAUGUCCCACAUUCAGGUACUAUAGAGUCAAUGCCCAUCAUGGUACAUACUACUUACAGAGAAACCCCAAGAUAAAUUU
This is a long non-coding RNA of Monodelphis domestica (gray short-tailed opossum), 5092 nucleotides long. NCBI's taxonomy places the organism in Eukaryota, Metazoa, Chordata, Mammalia, Didelphimorphia, Didelphidae. The record is from Ensembl.